GCGACUUCCGCGUUCCGGCCGGGCGGUGAGCUACGGCUCCAUGGCCGCGCUGGCCUCGCGAGUGGAGCUCGGCUUCGCCGAGGAGGCGCCGCCGUGGCGGUUGCGCAGCGACCAGUUCCCGAGUAAGGUGGGCGGGCGGCCAGCGUGGCUGGGCGAGGCCGGGCUGCCGGGGCCCGGGGACCUGGCCUGCGCGCGGUGCGGCCGUCCGCUCGCCUUCCUGCUGCAGGUGUACGCGCCGCUGCCGGGCCGUGCCGACGCCUUCCACCGCGGCCUCUUCCUCUUCUGCUGCCGGGAGCCGCCGUGCUGCGCCGGCCUGCGAGUUUUUAGGAAUCAGCUACCCAGGAAAAAUGACUUUUACUCAUAUGAGCCACCUUCUGAGAAUCCUCCCCCAGAAACAGGAGAAUCUGUGUGUCUCAAGCUUAAGUCUGGCGCUCUUCUCUGCAGGGUUUGUGGCUGCUUAGGCCCCAAAACAUGCUCUCAGUGCCACAAGGCACAUUACUGCGGUAAGGUGCAUCAGGCUCUUGACUGGAGAUCAGGACACAAGCAGGCGUGUUCACAGCCGGAUCAUUUGGACCAUGCAAUUCCAGACCACAACUUCCUUUUUCCGGAAUUUGAAAUUGUAAUAGAAACAGAAGAUGAGAUAAAGCCUGAAGUUGUGGAAAAGGAAGAUGCUACAGAGAUUGUGGGCAGCAUGAGUAAGCAGUUUCAGGACUUCAUUCCCCAAGUGAAGCACUGGAGGAAGAACUAGAUUCCAUGGCAAAACAUGAAUCCAAGGAAGAUAAAAUUUUCCAGAAGUUUAAAACUCAAAUAGCCCUUGAACCAGAACAGAUUCUCAGAUAUGGCAGAGGUCUUGCUCCCAUCUGGAUUUCUGGUGAAAAUAUCCCUCAAGAAAAGGAUAUUCCAGCUUGUCCCUGUGGUGCCAAGAGGAUAUUUGAAUUCCAGGUCAUGCCUCAACUGCUCAAUUACCUGAAGGCCGAUAGACUGGGCACCAGUGUGGACUGGGGCAUCCUGGCUGUGUUCACCUGUGCCGAGAGCUGCAGCCUGGGGACUAGCUACACAGAGGAAUUUGUGUGGAAGCAGGAUGUAGCAGACACACCUUAAAGGCAUCUUAUACCUUGCAAUUCCAUUUCUAGGACUUUAUCCUAAGGGAAUAAUUAUACCAGAAAUAGAGGCACAAGAGAUACAGAGCUGUUGCUUGAGGUAUUGUUUAUAGUGUCUAAAUAUUAACACACAAAUGUCCAACAACAGGGAAUUAAAUGUUGGUGUUCUGCAGUGGAAGGCUACACAGUCUCGAUGAUACACACUUAUGUGGACAGCAAACAAGGUACAGAUCUAAAUUCACAUUAGACGCCACUAUGGGUGGUAUUCAUGAUAUUACCAUAUUUUUGUAAACAUAUUUAUACAUGUAUAUGUGCACAGAAAUCUGGGAAAGAGACUAAGUGUGAACUGGUUAUCUGUGAAUGGUGGGAAUAAGUAAAAUGAUCUUUUUACUUAUAUGUGCAUUUCUAUAAUAAAAAUGGGUUAUGUACCAAGUUAAGUCAAA
Microcebus murinus (gray mouse lemur) is the source of this 1543-nucleotide non-coding RNA. NCBI's taxonomy places the organism in Eukaryota, Metazoa, Chordata, Mammalia, Primates, Cheirogaleidae. The record is from RefSeq and is a predicted model, not a curated record.